Molecule: ribosomal RNA, 275 nt
Filed under: uncultured bacterium
Lineage: Bacteria
Description: partial 16S ribosomal RNA
Rfam family: Bacterial small subunit ribosomal RNA
Source: RNAcentral
CUAAGUUUGAUGGCGACCGGCGCACGGGUGAGUAACACGUAUCCAACCUGCCGAUGACUCGGGGAUAGCCUUUCGAAAGAAAGAUUUAUACCCGAUGGCAUAGUUCUUCCGCAUGGUAGAACUAUUAAAGAAUUUCGGUCAUCGAUGGGGAUGCGUUCCAUUAGGUUGUUGGCGGGGUAACGGCCCACCAAGCCUUCGAUGGAUAGGGGUUCUGAGAGGAAGGUCCCCCACAUUGGAACUGAGACACGGUCCAAACUCCUACGGGAGGCAGCAUG